RNAcentral lists this non-coding RNA (108 nucleotides) under uncultured Mamiellales. The record is from RNAcentral. Lineage: Eukaryota; Viridiplantae; Chlorophyta; Mamiellophyceae; Mamiellales.
CAUAAUAAACACGGAGAGAACGAGCUAGAGAGCCAGACAAAAGAGGAACAGAAAGAGUGAAGUUGUUGGUUGAUUUGUUUGUUUGUUUGUUUCUUCUUCUUUUUCUCU